AGCGAACGCUGGCGGCAGGCCUAACACAUGCAAGUCGAACGAACCUUUCGGGGUUAGUGGCGGACGGGUGAGUAACACGUGGGAACGUGCCUUUAGGUUCGGAAUAACUCAGGGAAACUUGUGCUAAUACCGAAUGUGCCCUUCGGGGGAAAGAUUAAUCGCCUUUAGAGCGGCCCGCGUCUGAUUAGCUAGUUGGUUGAGGUAAUGGCUCACCAAGGCGACGAUCAGUAGCUGGUCUGAGAGGAUGAUCAGCCACAUUGAGACUGAGACACGGCCCAAAAUCCUACGGGAGGAGGCAGUGGGGGAUCUUGAACAAUAGGAGAAAGAAUGACGCAGCCAUGCCGCGUGAAUGAUGAAGGUCUUAGGAUUGUAAAAUUAUUUCAACGAGGAAGAUAAUGACGGUACCCGGAGAAAAAGCCACGGCUAACUACGUG
Molecule: ribosomal RNA, 434 nt
Filed under: uncultured bacterium
Lineage: Bacteria
Description: partial 16S ribosomal RNA
Rfam family: Bacterial small subunit ribosomal RNA
Source: RNAcentral